This 360-nucleotide long non-coding RNA is filed under the name Pongo abelii (Sumatran orangutan). Its description in RNAcentral is "lincRNA". The record is from RNAcentral. Lineage: Eukaryota; Metazoa; Chordata; Mammalia; Primates; Hominidae.
CAGUUUGGCUUCCCUGUUCCAGGUGGCAAAGCCUGUGGGGUAUUCACCUACCUGCUGCAUGAAGGCAGCAUGGAGGGACUGUGGUGGAUUAUCUGCAAAGAUGGCCCAAAUUCUCUCAUCCCUGCAGGUACAUACAAGGAGAACUGAAGCUCAGCUAUUCACCCUACAGAAAGCCUGAAUUUUGUAAAUGUUCUGCUUAGAAUGAGGAAGAAAGAUGAAGAAUGAGGAGGAAGAAGGGAGGAACAAGAGAGAGAGGUAAAGCCAACAAGCAGAACAGACCUACAUUUGCAGCAUCUCCAAGUUUCUGCAACAGCUUUAUGUUGUUGUUAUGUUUUGUUUUAAUAAAAGCACAUACCAUUU